RNAcentral lists this ribosomal RNA (275 nucleotides) under uncultured prokaryote. Its description in RNAcentral is "partial 16S ribosomal RNA". It matches the Rfam family "Bacterial small subunit ribosomal RNA", at positions 524 to 800 of the family's 1533-position model. The record is from RNAcentral.
UACGUAGGGGCUAGCGUUAUCCGGAAUUACUGGGCGUAGAGGGUGCGUAGGUGGUUUCUUAAGUCAGAGGUGAAAGGCUACGGCUCAACCGUAGUAAGCCUUUGAAACUGGGAAACUUGAGUGCAGGAGAGGAGAGUGGAAUUCCUAGUGUAGCGGUGAAAUGCGUAGAUAUUAGGAGGAACACCAGUUGCGAAGGCGGCUCUCUGGACUGUAACUGACACUGAGGCACGAAAGCGUGGGGAGCAAACAGGAUUAGAUACCCUGGUAGUCCCUGA